GUGGAUUAGGUACCCGGGUAGUCCACGCCCUAAACGAUGUCUACUAGUUGUCGGGUCUUAAUUGACUUGGUAACGCAGCUAACGCGUGAAGUAGACCGCCUGGGGAGUACGGUCGCAAGAUUAAAACUCAAAGGAAUUGACGGGGACCCGCACAAGCGGUGGAUGAUGUGGAUUAAUUCGAUGCAACGCGAAAAACCUUACCUACCUUUGACAUGUACGGAAGUCGCUAGAGAUAGCUUCGUGCUCGAAAGAGAGCCGUAACACAGGU
Molecule: ribosomal RNA, 268 nt
Filed under: uncultured bacterium
Lineage: Bacteria
Description: partial 16S ribosomal RNA
Rfam family: Bacterial small subunit ribosomal RNA
Source: RNAcentral